UGGGGAAUUUUGGACAACGGGGGAAACCCUGAUCCAGCCAUCCCGCGUGUGCGAUGAAGGCCUUCGGGUUGUAAAGCACUUUUGGCAGGAAAGAAACGUCAUGGGUUAAUACCCCGUGAAACUGACGGUACCUGCAGAAUAAGCACCGGCUAACUACGUGCCAGCAGCCGCGGUAAUACGUAGGGUGCAAGCGUUAAUCGGAAUUACUGGGCGUAAAGCGUGCGCAGGCGGUUCGGAAAGAAAGAUGUGAAAUCCCAGAGCUCAACUUUGGAACUGCAUUUUUAACUACCGGGCUAGAGUGUGUCAGAGGGAGGUGGAAUUCCGCGUGUAGCAGUGAAAUGCGUAGAUAUGCGGAGGAACACCGAUGGAGAAGGCAGCCUCCUGGGAUAACACUGACGCUCAUGCACGAAAGCGUGGGGAGCAAACAGG
This 429-nucleotide ribosomal RNA is filed under the name Acidobacteriota bacterium. RNAcentral's name for it is "Acidobacteria bacterium partial 16S ribosomal RNA". It matches the Rfam family "Bacterial small subunit ribosomal RNA", at positions 355 to 776 of the family's 1533-position model. Lineage: Bacteria; Pseudomonadati; Acidobacteriota. The record is from RNAcentral.